This 253-nucleotide ribosomal RNA is filed under the name uncultured bacterium. RNAcentral describes it as "partial 16S ribosomal RNA". It matches the Rfam family "Bacterial small subunit ribosomal RNA", at positions 524 to 776 of the family's 1533-position model. The record is from RNAcentral.
UACGUAGGGUGCGAGCGUUGUCCGGAAUUACUGGGCGUAAAGAGCUCGUAGGUGGUUUGUCGCGUUGUUCGUGAAAACCGGGGGCUUAACCCUCGGCGUGCGGGCGAUACGGGCAGACUUGAGUACUGCAGGGGAGACUGGAAUUCCUGGUGUAGCGGUGGAAUGCGCAGAUAUCAGGAGGAACACCGGUGGCGAAGGCGGGUCUCUGGGCAGUAACUGACGCUGAGGAGCGAAAGCAUGGGUAGCGAACAGG